Molecule: ribosomal RNA, 497 nt
Filed under: uncultured bacterium
Lineage: Bacteria
Description: partial 16S ribosomal RNA
Rfam family: Bacterial small subunit ribosomal RNA
Source: RNAcentral
GAUGAACGCUGGCGGCGUGCCUAAUACAUGCAAUUCGAGCGUACAUACGAGGCGCUUGCUCCUCUGACGUUAGCGGCGGACGGGUUAGUAACACGUGGCUAACCUACCUAUAAGACUGGGAUAACUUCGGGACACCGGAGCUAAUACCGGAUAAUAUAUUUAACCGCAUGUUUCAAUAGUGAAAGACGGUUUUGCUGUCACUUCUAGAUGGAUCCGCGCCGCAUUAGCUAGUUGGUAAGGUAACGGCUUACCAAGGCAACGAUGCGUAGCCGACCUGAGAGGGUGAUCGGCCACACUGGAACUGAGACACGGUCCAGACUCCUACGGGAGGCAGCAGUAGGGAAUCUUCCGCAAUGGGCGAAAGCCUGACGGAGCAACGCCGCGUGAGUGAUGAAGGUCUUCGGAUCGUAAAACUCUGUUAUUAGGGAAGAACAAAUGUGUAAGUAACUAUGCACGUCUUGACGGUACCUAAUCAGAAAGCCACGGCUAACUACGUG